AUCCUUACCUGGCAGGGGAGACACUAUGAUCACGAAGGUGGUUUUCACAGGGCGAGGCUUAUCUAUUGCUCUCCGGAUGUACUGACCCCUGACAUUCCCAAAUGUGGGAACCUCGACUGCAUAAUUUGUGGUACUGGGGGGACUGCAUUCACGUUGUCUCCUG
This 163-nucleotide small nuclear RNA is filed under the name Chinchilla lanigera (long-tailed chinchilla). RNAcentral describes it as "U1 spliceosomal RNA (ENSCLAG00000018629.1)". It matches the Rfam family "U1 spliceosomal RNA". Rfam says of the family: U1 is a small nuclear RNA (snRNA) component of the spliceosome (involved in pre-mRNA splicing). Lineage: Eukaryota; Metazoa; Chordata; Mammalia; Rodentia; Chinchillidae. The record is from Rfam by way of RNAcentral.